RNAcentral lists this ribosomal RNA (400 nucleotides) under uncultured bacterium. Its description in RNAcentral is "bacterial SSU rRNA". It matches the Rfam family "Bacterial small subunit ribosomal RNA", at positions 355 to 772 of the family's 1533-position model. The record is from RNAcentral.
UUGGGAAUAUUGGACAAUGGGCGCAAGCCUGAUCCAGCCAUGCCGCGUGAGUGAAGAAGGCCUUAGGGUUGUAAAGCUCUUUCGCCGACGAAGAUAAUGACGGUAGUCGGAGAAGAAGCCCCGGCUAACUUCGUGCCAGCAGCCGCGGUGAUACGAAGGGGGCUAGCGUUGUUCGGAAUUACUGGGCGUAAAGCGCACGUAGGCGGACUGUUAAGUCAGAGGUGAAAGCCCAGGGCUCAACCCUGGAAUUGCCUUUGAUACUGGCAGCCUAGAGAUCGGAAGAGGUGAGUGGAAUUCCUAGUGUAGAGGUGAAAUUCGUAGAUAUUAGGAAGAACACCAGUGGCGAAGGCGGCUCACUGGUCCGAUUCUGACGCUGAGGUGCGAAAGCGUGGGGAGCAAA